CCUCACUUAGCUUCCUUCCUCCCCUCAGGCCACUCAGGGCAGGGGGGCCCCUGUCCCCGAGGCCACUUCUGCCCCAGGGGAACCAGCCUCCCACAGCCCUGCCCUGCUGGCUCCUACAGCUACCUGACUGGCCAGGCCUCCUGCUUCCCUUGCCCCACUGGCUACUACUGCCCCGAGAACGUCACCAACUACAGCAGGCACCCCUGUCCCGCUGGCUUCUACUGCCCCGAGGCACGAAGUACGCCACCCAGUUCCCCUGCCCUCGGAGCUACUACGACCCAGACCCACUGACCCAGAGCCUGGACAGCUGCCUGCCCUGUCCCCCAGGCCACUGCUGCGGGUAGGAGAACCUGACCCGGGCCUCUGGGCCUUGUGCGGCAGGAUGGUUCUGUGUGUCUGUGGCAUGGACCGCCCGCCCCUUCAACCUGGACAACUACACCAGCACCAAUUGCCUGUGCCCAGCCAC
This is a long non-coding RNA of Homo sapiens (human), 466 nucleotides long. RefSeq lists it as uncharacterized. NCBI's taxonomy places the organism in Eukaryota, Metazoa, Chordata, Mammalia, Primates, Hominidae. The transcript is spliced from 3 exons. The record is from RefSeq and is a predicted model, not a curated record.